UACGUAGGGUGCGAGCGUUAAUCGGAAUUACUGGGCGUAAAGCGUGCGUAGGCGGCGUGUCAAGUCAGGCGUGAAAGCCCCGGGCUCAACCUGGGAACCGCGCUUGAGACUGGCAUGCUCGAGUUCGGGAGAGGAUGGUGGAAUUCCCAGUGUAGAGGUGAAAUUCGUAGAUAUUGGGAAGAACACCGAUGGCGAAGGCAGCCAUCUGGACCGACACUGACGCUGAGGCGCGAAAGCGUGGGGAGCAAACAGG
RNAcentral lists this ribosomal RNA (253 nucleotides) under uncultured bacterium. RNAcentral describes it as "partial 16S ribosomal RNA". It matches the Rfam family "Bacterial small subunit ribosomal RNA", at positions 524 to 776 of the family's 1533-position model. The record is from RNAcentral.